Cucumis sativus (cucumber) is the source of this 952-nucleotide long non-coding RNA. RefSeq lists it as uncharacterized. The record is from RefSeq and is a predicted model, not a curated record. The transcript is spliced from 3 exons. NCBI's taxonomy places the organism in Eukaryota, Viridiplantae, Streptophyta, Magnoliopsida, Cucurbitales, Cucurbitaceae.
GGAACCCUGGAUGCAAUGGGCUCCACCUGUGCAGUAAAUUGGUCCCACUCUGAGAGAUACCCAUUUGCAUAAGACAUGUCUCCGAUGUGGAAAACAAUGUCGAUAUUGUUUAAGUCUUUGAUGAGCUGAUCGGUGGUGUUCAAUGCUCCAGGCUGAUAGUUGCUAAAUUCAUUCGAGCCAUCACGUUGUCCCUGAAAAGUCAUGUGAUGAAAGGGCUUGGAUUGUUCCUUUUCAAAAAUCAUUUGUAUGACAAUCGUCGACCUCAAGGAGCUCAAAUGUGAUGGUAGUUGUAGAAAAUCCUCUCAAGAAGAUAGAGAUUUAUGAAGUCAAUUCAAGAAACAUACAUAGACCCGAAGAGGAAACGGUGAUGACUUGAAUGAAUAGCUCUUGCUCCAAAUAUAUGAUCCACUAAGCAAGCGGUGACCCAUUCUGUACGUAUACCUGUUGAAACCAACGCAGCAAUCCUUAAUUCACAUAAAAACAAGAUUUAAAUAGUGGUUCAGAUCAAUAGCUUCAACCAUUGAUAUUUGAUACAUACACAGUGUUUGGCCAUAAGUUCUGCAGGAAACUCGUGUGAAAGAAACCAGGAUCACGCCAACCAACAGUUCGUGCAGGUGCAUCUUUGAUUGAAGAAAAUGUCAUCAUGCAACAAGUCAAAAAUUAGAAACUAGUGCUCAGUCAGAAUAAAAGAGUAAAAAUAAUACGGUUUGCAGAGUAAUUAUCUAAUUAGAAUCGAAGAAAGUCAUCGAUACAUUCUGAAAGAAGUCUGAACUACCUUUCUAAAUGAAUUGUUAACAUUCAUGUCCUGAUGAAACUAUGAAAGAAAGACAUUGGUGGUGUUCUAAGAAACCACUUGGAUGGAAUGGAAUUGAAAACUCAUUUCCAGGUUAAUGGCUUGCUCAAGGACAUCAAGAUGAUGAAAUAAAAAAUUUAUGAGUUGACUAAUAAGGCA